UACGGAGGGUGCAAGCGUUGCUCGGAAUCACUGGGCGUAAAGCGACCGCAGGCGGCCUGACAAGUCGGAUGUGAAAGCCCUGGGCUCAACUCAGGAAUUGCAUUCGAAACUGGUAGGCUUGAAUCCGGGAGAGGGAUGUGGAAUUCCAGGUGUAGCGGUGAAAUGCGUAGAUAUCUGGAGGAACACCGGUGGCGAAGGCGGCAUCCUGGACCGGUAUUGACGCUGAGGCGCGAAAGCCAGGGGAGCAAACGGG
This 253-nucleotide ribosomal RNA is filed under the name uncultured bacterium. Its description in RNAcentral is "partial 16S ribosomal RNA". It matches the Rfam family "Bacterial small subunit ribosomal RNA", at positions 524 to 776 of the family's 1533-position model. The record is from RNAcentral.